UUUAAAACUUUUUUUCUUUUUUCCCUAGUCUCAAGAUGUAACCUUGAAGCUUAGAGCAGAAACCUUUUUCUUUUUUUCCCUAGUCUUAAAAUAAAGCUUUGAAAUGUACUUUCUUUGAAACACCAUUUCCCUCCCUUUCUCAACAUACACUCCCUGACACUAUGAACAUUUGUCUAACUGUGUGCUUCUAUGUAAUUAUGUGCUUACUUAGAACUUCCAGGAACUAAUCUUGAAACAGACCAAGCACAGAGAGCCAGCUACAGAAGUCCAGAGAUUACCUCAAGGCAGUUAGUCAACAACCCAGCCAUUGUUCAGAUGACAGCAUCCUACACUCCAGGUGGACCAUGGCUCGAGAUAACCACCAGAACAAGACACUCCCACCUUGUACUCAGCAGCCUGCCUGCCUGCCUCCCAUUGCAAGUUCCCCUUUUUAAGCUCUCCUCCCCAGCCUAAAGUGUGAAGUGGUUGCUUUGGAAGAGAAUCUGGCCGUUUCUCGAUUACUAGUGUUGGUUAAUAAAGUCACUUUCUUUCUACUACACCUCACUGUUGUCACUGGACUCUGUAAGUGGUGAGUAGCCAGACCUGCAUUUGGUUACAAUAUUUGUAGCAGCUAUGUACCAGGACUGAGGGAAAAAAUAGGAAGAGGAAAAUUUACCAUAAACUAGAAGCUUGGUGCCCUGAAACCUGGUACUUAGACCACAGAUGAGCCUGCUCAAUUACUGCCGCUGCCUCUGAGGAGCCCUGAUGACACUGAUGCUGAGAUACUGAUGGAAGCUGGUGGCUGGGUCCAUGGCUGCUGCUAAAGUGAUACUGAUGGUGCCUGGAAAACAGGUAGAAAAUACUCUCUUCCAUUAAUUCAGUCUUCCCCCAAAAUAAUAUAUUUAUUCAUUUGGCCAGUAUUUUAUGACUAUAUUGAUUUUUAAAUUUCCUCAGACAUUACUUUUUUGUAUUAUGAAGUGUCGAUUUAGAUUUUCCAAUAUGUCUACCACAUUUUCCUUGUUCAUAAUUCCUUUAUCUCAGACAUCCUCCUAAUAUUAUUUUUUCUUUUUGCAUUAAUACAUUUUUACAUUUUUUAAUGAAGUUAUGCUGAUAAUAAACGUUUGCAAUUUUGUUAAUUUCCUAAUAAUGUAUAUGUUUUGCUCUUAUUCUUCAGAGACGGAAUUGUUUUACUCAGAUGAUCUUAUCUUGUGACAGUUACCCUUUCUUAAAACUUCAAGAAUAAAUAUCUUUUCAUUGUCUCUGCCUUCCACCACUGUGGAGAAGUCAAAAUCAUCUAUCUUAUCUUAUCCAAAAUGUACGGAUAUGUGAACCCUUUCCAGUCUUCUCUUACGGUUUUAGACAACACAGUUCAUCCGAGUCUUUCCCCAAAGGAAUGUAAGUGUGGGCUAGCAGUGAAUAUGUAACUUUAAGAAUCUCAGGACAUGUAUUGGGAAGCAGUUUUUUUAAAAAAGCGUAACACAGUUUCAAAAUAACAAAGAACCGAGAUUUGGGUGCAAUUCUUUUCAGCCAUGACUCUGAAAU
This 1521-nucleotide long non-coding RNA is filed under the name Homo sapiens (human). RNAcentral describes it as "non-protein coding lnc-LRRN3-4:1". The record is from RNAcentral. Lineage: Eukaryota; Metazoa; Chordata; Mammalia; Primates; Hominidae.